GCACAGAACAGAUGCAAACCAAGGAGGCUGGAAGAUAAGAGCAGAGCCAUCAGGACACGAGCCCCUCGCGGGUAUGAAACAGGAGUCGUGGGAGCAAAUUAAGCUUCCUGUGUGCAGCAUGGAUCUAAAGCUGGUGGAUGCAGGGGGGUGAACAAGACAACAUCUUCACUUCCUGCAUGCUGAUGGCAGAAGUGAGACAUCAGCGAAGAA
Molecule: long non-coding RNA, 210 nt
Filed under: Homo sapiens (human)
Lineage: Eukaryota; Metazoa; Chordata; Mammalia; Primates; Hominidae
Description: non-protein coding lnc-KIAA1211L-1:5
Source: RNAcentral